Molecule: ribosomal RNA, 483 nt
Filed under: uncultured bacterium
Lineage: Bacteria
Description: partial 16S ribosomal RNA
Rfam family: Bacterial small subunit ribosomal RNA
Source: RNAcentral
AUUGAACGCUGGCGGCAUGCCUUACACAUGCAAGUCGAACGGCAGCGCGGACUUCGGUCUGGCGGCGAGUGGCGAACGGGUGAGUAAUACAUCGGAACGUACCCUGUUGUGGGGGAUAACUAGUCGAAAGAUUAGCUAAUACCGCAUACGACCUGAGGGUGAAAGUGGGGGAUCGCAAGGCCUCACGCAGCAGGAGCGGCCGAUGUCUGAUUAGCUAGUUGGUGGGGUAAAGGCCCACCAAGGCGACGAUCAGUAGCUGGUCUGAGAGGACGAUCAGCCACACUGGGACUGAGACACGGCCCAGACUCCUACGGGAGGCAGCAGUGGGGAAUUUUGGACAAUGGGGGCAACCCUGAUCCAGCAAUGCCGCGUGUGUGAAGAAGGCCUUCGGGUUGUAAAGCACUUUUGUCCGGAAAGAAAUCGCGCUGGUUAAUACCUGGCGUGGAUGACGGUACCGGAAGAAUAAGCACCGGCUAACUACGU